Non-coding RNA from Acanthosepion pharaonis, 110 nucleotides. Lineage: Eukaryota; Metazoa; Mollusca; Cephalopoda; Sepiida; Sepiidae. The record is from the annotation of a GenBank genome assembly.
CGUACAUAUCACAGUGAAACACGGGUUCUCGUACCAUCACUGAAGUUAAGCUACUUUGAGCCUGGUCAGUACCUAGAUGAGUGAACCCUUGGGAAUACGAGGUUCUGUCA